RNAcentral lists this ribosomal RNA (445 nucleotides) under uncultured bacterium. Its description in RNAcentral is "partial 16S ribosomal RNA". It matches the Rfam family "Bacterial small subunit ribosomal RNA", at positions 354 to 796 of the family's 1533-position model. The record is from RNAcentral.
GUAGGGAAUAUUGGGCAAUGGAUGCAAGUCUGACCCAGCCAUCCCGCGUGCCGGAAGAAGGCCCUCAGGGUUGUAAACGGCUUUUGACGGUGAAGAAUCGACAGGAUGCGUCCUGUUUUGACGGUAGCCGUUGAAUAAGCACCGGCUAACUCCGUGCCAGCAGCCACGGUAAUACGGAGGGUGCGAGCGUUUUACGGAUUUAUUGGGUUUAAAGGGUGCGUAGGCUGGAAGGUCAGUCAGCGGUGAAAAGUUGUCGCUUAACGAUAGUCUUGCCGCAGAUACUUCCUUUCUUGGAUGAGGAGGAGGCCACUGGAACGGAUGGUGUAGCGGUGAAAUGCAUAGAUAUCAUCCAGAACACCGAUUGCGAAGGCAGGUGGCUGUACCUUAAUCGACGCUGAUGCACGAAAGCAUGGGGAGCAAACAGGAUUAGAAACCCUAGUAGUCC